UAGCUCAGGGGAUAGAGCACGGCUCUCCUAAAGCCGGUGUCGCAGGUUCGAAUCCUGCG
This 59-nucleotide transfer RNA is filed under the name Rhodococcus (subgen. Prescottella) equi. Its description in RNAcentral is "Rhodococcus hoagii tRNA-Arg". It matches the Rfam family "tRNA", at positions 8 to 63 of the family's 71-position model. From Rfam's summary of the family: Transfer RNA (tRNA) molecules are approximately 80 nucleotides in length. Their secondary structure includes four short double-helical elements and three loops (D, anti-codon, and T loops). Lineage: Bacteria; Bacillati; Actinomycetota; Actinomycetes; Mycobacteriales; Nocardiaceae. The record is from RNAcentral.